Long non-coding RNA from Brassica napus (rape), 6672 nucleotides. RefSeq lists it as uncharacterized. The record is from RefSeq and is a predicted model, not a curated record. The transcript has 3 exons. NCBI's taxonomy places the organism in Eukaryota, Viridiplantae, Streptophyta, Magnoliopsida, Brassicales, Brassicaceae.
CCGCCGAAACGUAAAAAAAAAUAUUUUAGUCAUUUUAUUAACAAGUCCACCUGGAUGCAGAUGAAGUUAAAAAUGAAAAGCAAACGAACAUAGUUGCAUUCAGAUGAUUCAUCUGGAUGCAUAGACGAAAUGAAAAAACGAACAACAUCCAGAUGGAUCAUCUAGAUAAGACACUCAGAUGGACCAUCUGGAUGCAUCUUUGAGAUGUACUAACGAACAUGACCUAUGUCUUUGCCAGAAAACGGCCAAGCCUCAAAAGCUUUCAUCGCAACUAUCUGCAAAAGUCUGCGCUUCUUCCUCUAAACCUCUGCUGCCUCCAUGCCACUUCCGCCUGUACGGCCACCAUCGACAUCACAACAACCUCAAGUAAUGAACAAAACGCCGCCUCCUCCUCUGUUUCAUGAUUUUCUCCGCGUAGACCGUUAGGUAAAGAUAAGUUCCUUUGAGUAAUUUUACAAAACGCCCGACCGGACUAUGGCCUGUGAUAAGCUCAGAACAAGCUUCUUUGAUUUCAGUGGAAGGGUUGUGUUUACAGCACUUGAAGCAUUUGUGAAGAAGAUGCCGACUAAGUAAAGAAGAAGAGUUGAAGUUGUAUAGCUACAAAGUUGUAGUAGAUGAGCUUGACUCUGCUGAGAAAUUUCUCAGGGCCCUUGUGGAGUACCAUUUGCAUUUCAAGAGGCUGAAGCAAUGCUUUAUAGAGAGACGGUUGAAGAUGAAGUGGUUCAUCUUAGAAACUCCUUCUCAAUGCUUGAGGAAGCUUGCACGGAGCUUAAGUCAAGCAGGUUAUUCCUGAAGCUUUUAAAAGUCGUCCUUAGGACUGGGAACAAGAUGAAUGUAGGAACCAUACUUGGUGGCGCAAAAGCCUUCAAGCUCUCCAAUGUUAAGUGCACAUAUGAAAAAACAACUCUAUUCCACUUUGUCGUGAAAGAGAUAUCUAGGUCAAAGGGAAUCAGGGUUUAAGACAGCAUCAUGGCAUGCACCAGAGAUUAAAAAAAAAAAACAGAACAGGGAGAAAGGGGAGGAAUACAAAAAAUAUUAUAACUUACUUCCCUUCGGAAAAUCAAUACUUGAUCGUUUAUGGCGGUUUGUAAAACAAGAAGAUAUAUAAAUUCGUUGGUGAGUAUACGAGUUCAAUGGAAUGGGGGAAAGUUAUUAUGACAAUAUGACAUGUGGUAUCAACAUUUAUUGUUGGGCAAAAUAUCAUUUUAAAAAUUAUAUAUAUAUAUAUAUAUAUAUAUAUAUAUAUAAUCUAUUAGAUUGUACUAAAAGAACAAAUCAUACACUUCUAACUCAAAUGAUGUAUUUUAUGGUACUACUAAGGGUAUUCCGGUCGGACGUUGAUUUAUCUUAUGUAUUUCAUUUGUUUCAUUCUCUUCUGUUAGUUAGUAGUCCAUUUGAGUCUGAAUUAUUAGUUGUUGUCAAUUAAGAUUUGGGGGUGUCCAUGAUGUCAUGUCAAUGAGUUUCUUACUCUUGGUGAAUGAAUUUGAGAAUUUUUUGACUUAUGGGUUAGAUGCAGUUUUUUGGUUUACGUAUGUAUUACCGUUUUUUUAUUUGUUUAAUUUAAGAGUCAGUAGAGUAGUAAUCUAUUUUUUUAACUUUAGGAAAAAAAUAAAGUAAUAAUAUUUUUUAUUCAUGAUAGAAAAAAUGUAAAAUCCAGUUUGUCUUUACAAAGCAAAGGAAACAAUGACAUAUUUUAUUUUGAUGAACCAACAAAUUACUUUCCAAAACACGAAGGAAAAAACAAUCGCAGCAUAUGAACCAUAGCUUACACUUUUCGCUGGUACUGAAGGUCAAGUUUACGCUCCACUUCUUUUCUAGUUUCUUUAUACUUUUCAACCCGGAAUAUUGCAGAGCGAAAGGUUUCAAUCUAUUGCAACAUUUCCGUUUCAGCAACUAAUACUUACUCUUAAUAUCUUCCUGUUACCAGUCGAUCCAAAUUAUCAUUCAGUUAUUAUAUACCAAUCGAAAUACAAACAUUCAAUAAGUAUCUAUUUGCCUCACCUUAACUUCGGUUUGGUGGUCGUUGAUCACCUCAUAUAGUGCACUCUCAGCCAAGCCCUGUUAGGAUUCAGAGGCUUAAAGACAUCACUUUGUCUCAGCAUAAACCCACAACAAACCAAGAUAGAAGUUGCUUGAAGUCCAAAAAUAGAAUGCUGUAAAAAACAUUGUUGUAGAGAGUAUGAAGAAGAGAAUAGAGAGAAGGAUAAGAUGGGAGCACACACACAAUUUAAGGAGUUCGCGCCCGUUAACGAGGGUCACUACAUCUCCCCGAGACUACAGAUCGGAAUCCACUAGAAGGUAUAACAUAGUUACAAAGAUACAAGUGAUUCACUCAUCAUAUCACUCAUGAACUCACUCUAAUGUAUCUUACUUUGUUCUAAUAAGAAAACCCAAAGCUAAGCUUAAGCUCACAUGUUUCUCUCACCCUUCUAAGCUCUUUGUGUGGCUCAAUCUCUCUCUCACGUUCUCAGCCUCCCUUUAUAGUAGAGACAUCUUUAAACCUAAUGCACAAGAGGACAAAAUGGAGAGGCUCCUCCUUGUGGUCCCAAAAGUAACUUAACCCAUCUUCAACUCACCAUACUAACUUGAGUUAAGCCUUGGAUUACUUUUGAUCUUCAUUUGCUUGAUAAACAAGUGUUCUCAUCUUCACAAAUCUCCACCUGAGAACAUGUUGAUCAUCCCAAACAACUUGCACAUACUUGAGAGAGAGAGAGUUUCUUCUUCUAGCUUCUUGGAUUCCUGUCUCGGCUUCUGAGUAUCACUACUCAUCCUUGAUCCUUAGCAGCUUCAAACACCAUGAACCUGCUUGAUCCAUGCAGCAUUCAACAUCUUGUUCAAUGCACAUCAGCUGUGAAAAUUCACCUUGCCGAACCUGAGCCAUCAGAACAUCUACAUGUCACUUGAGUUGUGAAAACCAGCUCUAACACAAAUCUGUAUUAAGCUCAACUCAUCAGUGACUUCUUCUGGCACCUGCAACACCUGAAUAUCUGAUAUAAAGCUCAAUAAAAUCCAGUACCAAGCUUAGGAAAUGUCCAGCUUGUUGCUCCAACAGAAAACUCCAUAAGCUUUAUGACUUAUGACUUCUCCAAUCACACAAUUCCUCCAUGGCUUCUGUCAUAACCAUAAGUAUGUUUCAGUGACUGAGAAAAUACCAAUACCACCUCUGCAAAUCUUGAUUCACUUGCUAGCUUCUAGGAUUUCCUCAUGCGCAUUGAGAUCAAAACCCUUUGAAUUCACUUGAAUCAAAUGCAGAAAUAACAGAAUCAUCUUAGCUUCUAGCUUGAAGCUUCUUGAUUCAACUUGCAGUCAAUCUCACCAAUAGCUUACACUAUCUGAGAUUCACAUCUUCAACCUGUUUAACCAAGCAAUCCCAGAACAGAACCCUGCUCCACCAUCUUGUUAAAACAGAACACACUAACAGCUUGAAAAAACCCACUACUAGCAACCUUGCAUAUGUCUCUUAUCAACAACUUCUUGUGACAUCCCUGAGACGCGUCCAUACAACAGCUUACACAUCAAUUCUAGAACCCUUGAUGUAUUUCAAGCUGUAAAGAACAACCUGCAAUACUUCUUCUUGUAUGCAGCCUCCACCAAAACAAAUCCGGUUCUUGCAUUAUUCAGUUUGCAGUCAUUAACCGACAUUCUUCUUCCUGAAUAUCAUUAACUUUACUGGCCUGCAACUGACUUCCCAUGAGUAGACACUUAUGUAGACUCCUCAUGAUGCAACUAAGACAACUUCAAGCUCCUGAGUUGUUGUCUUUCUAAUGCAGCUUGAUCUCUGCAUUCUUCAUCCUUUUAGGACUUCUUUUUCAGGUUCUGACACUUCACUUGAGAUGAGUUAUCCAUCAGACUUGAUACACAACACUUUCACAUUCUUGAAGUGAGCAUCCUUGACACAUAACCAUGUAUCAUCUGCACUUGUCUACUUCAGUUUCUGCUUUAUAGAACUCACUGAAAAAAACACUUCAGUUGCUUCAUCUCAAAACACAGCAUUGUGUCUUCUCACUGAAAAACUUUCAGAAACCUGCAAUCCACUUGUAGUAACCUGCAACUCUGUUUCUCAGAGUCUGCAAUUCGUUUUUGAUUAUCCUCAUCAACACCCAGCUUCAAAUCAAAUCUGAAAACAAUCUUUUACCAUCAGAUUAUAACCUUUCUUGAGCUGAAUACCCGUUGACACACCAUCAGUUCUGCACUUGCUUUCUUCUUUGCACAGAGAACUUCAAUAAAUCUGAUACAACAGCAAGAUCCUUAGCCCUCUAACUCUUUUAUCUUCAGCUAAACACUUGAGACAACCUCCGAAUAUAACUCCACCAGGAAAACAAAAAAUCAUUUAAGAUAUGCAUUGCUCUUCUUGUAGCAAUAAUACUCCACCUGAAACUAUAACCACUUGGACAUACUCCGUCUCUAUAAUCUCAGCUUUGCAAUCAGAGUUAAAACCACUCUUCCAUGUAUCUUUGAUCCACAAACACGUUCUUAUGUAUCAGAUUGAGUCACCAUGACUUCUUGCUUGAGAAAGUGUGCCAAAACCUGUGACACAUCUUCUUUCUUCUUGCAGCCAUCCCAUCUGAUCCAUUUGCAACCAGAAAACCCUCAAGAACUUUCUUUCUCCCGGCAGCACUGUCUCUUAAAGCAUUCUUCAUGUUGUGAUGAUGUUACAACUUAGGCUGAUACAUCAACAAACCAUCCUUCUAUCCCACAAAUCUGAAAUCUUAUACUCUCUUGUCGCCAAAAAAUACAACCAUACUUGUCUUGUACCGCUGUUGAUAAACAGGACACGCCGCCUAACUCCUCUAGCUAGGAAGACUUUCGAUACCAGAUUGUAUCAUGUUGCAUAAUACAUUCAAAGACACUCCUCAUGAAACAUGAUGUCUCAAAUGCCUUCAGCUUCUAGACCACCGAAAUCUUCUUCAAUCUCUGAAGAACUGAUUCAAGUACAAGAUAAUCUUCUGAGAAAAAACAAUGCUCCACCUGAGAUAAGUACUACUUAUUCACUAAGAUUCAAUCCAGCAGAAAACUCCAUGUGUUACACCAAACACAAAUCUUCUUAAGAAACAUGAAUCUUCGCUACUUCCAUCUUGUCAAGAGCUUACACUACUUGAAACAAGAACUCGAACAAUCCUCUGUAUACACUCAAGCUCACAAGAGCUCAACCUUCAUUGCAUCCCUCUGAAAAUAGCAAUGAAACUGAGUGUUACACCUUAUGUUCACCAUAACAUUUUCAGACCGCAACAAGAGCUUAAUCAUCAUUGCAUUCCCUCUGAAAAUAGCAAUCAUGUAUCUUUAUGUUCUCUGAUGACACACCAACUUUAGACUGUCAUACUACCAAGAACUGAUAGCUAGCACCCUGAGAUAAAACUUGCAGCAAGAAACCCCAUCCAAAACUCAAAAGCUACUGAAAUUGCCGUAAUUGUUUCUGCCUUUGACAAACAGAAAACAUGCCCUGCUCCAUAACCAUUCUGCAUCCUCCUUUAAACUGGCCCAAGAAUAUCCUUACAGAUACUCACACAGCCAUAAAACACUCAUCAAAUCCAAGGUAUUAGACGUCCCUGAAUUUUCAGAGUUUCCGGGCUGGAAACAGAUAGCUAAAACACCACUUGCAGCUGACUUCUACAAACUGAUUCAACCAAAGAAUACCCUGAAAACCAUCACUGAAUCUUGGCCAAUCCCAUGCAAAACCAGUACAAAAUCACUGUGUUCAAACAAGCUUCCAAUCCCAACAGAUAAGCAGAACUUGAGCAACUUGAAACUUCAAUACAAAAGCAUCACAAAUGCUUUGUGACUGCAGCAGCGGAAUCAGACAUUGAGUCUCCCAAAACUUGAGUCUUGAAAUUGAUGUUCGGUUUUGAUAUAAGCCAUUGAGUCACAGAACGUGUACUCAUCUUUUUAUAACCCCAAAACCAGCUGAUAUCUCUGAAAUACCUUCAGCUUACUCCAAUCUUCAAUCGGUUUCUUCAGCAUUGACCAAGAACUCUCUUCUUGUAUCAUGUGCUUCUUGCUUCUAUCUCUGAUGUUUUUUCUUCUGCUUGCUACAUUUCAGCUUGUGAGAAUUUUGUCAUCCUUCUCACAGUGUCGCAGCUUCUUGUAUCUUAGAGGUCUCUUGAUUUCAUAGCCCUUGAAAUCACCUCAACUGAUUCACACUUUCACCAUGAAUCACUCCUUAAGAUACAACUUGUUCACAUCCCAUCUUCACACUAUAACCUGAGCUAAACCGGUUUUAUAACCACUAAAGCUUCUCAAGAACCUUAUAUUACUCCACCUAAGAUCUGCAUGGAUCCUUAAAUGAGUAGAGAUAACCUCUUGCCAAAGCUGUCUCUGUUUCUGAAACAGAAAACUGCAUUUUUAACAGAAAAAAUCUGCAACUUCUUUGGUUCUUCUUGUUCUUCAAGAUGUGUGAAUGAGAUGCUUCCAUGUACACCAGAAUGAGCCUUAUAACUCCUUCCUCUCACGUGCUGUUCACCAAUAGACAGCUUGUCUUUCAGCCUGAGACAUUCAAGUCUCCAUACAUUCCUCAAAACCUGAGAAAUACCAUGAUGCUUCACCAAGAAAGAGUCUUAUGGCUUCUUCCUCUCUUUAGCAUCAUUUACCAAGAGCUACUGCUUUGUUGUUCCUCCUGAGACAUCACUUUUCUCUACAAAACCAGCUCUCCAAGAAAAGGACGUGGCUUCGUAACAG